CUCUUCUUUCUCUUUCUUCUUCCUCUUCUCUCUCCCAUUUCUCCAGCCCCUCCACCCAGCACACCCAGCUCUGCCCAAGUCCCUGUGCUGGUGCAGACAAGGACCUGAAGCCAGGUCCUGGCAGCUGUACUGAGCUGAUGCUGUGCCACUGCACCUUCCAAGGGGACACUGCCCUCUGGGGACAUCUGUCUGUCUGUCUGUCCUUUCAAGCUUUGGGCUGGUUAAAGGGGAGAGCUGAGUCACCCCCACACUGCAUCAAUUUUGGGGGCUCAGUUUGGCUUUCUGGUACCUCACAAAUUCUGGUAUCUCACAAAAUUCAACAAAAAUUCACCCCAAAAUACGACCCUGAGGGACUCCCUCAGGUUUAUUUGGAGCAUGGCCACCAGCAGAACAUUCCAGAGGCAGGGUGUGCCUGCAGGACCCAUAUCCCUGCAGGUUCCAUGUCCCUGCAGGAUCCCAUGGAGAGGGCACCAUGGUGGUGUUGGGGUGGCACAGGCUCUUACCCUUCAAAUGCCAAUUUCUUGUGGGGUUGGGGAGGGGGGGGAAAGGAGAAACCAAAUCCCCACUGACACAGAAUGUACUUGAUGGAUUUGUUGCAAUGUCUGGAAUUGGGAGGCCUGAGCCCCCCAGGUGUGGGGUCAGACCCACAGGAAAAGGAUCCACCCCGUGGGGCAGCUCAGGGCCCUGCUCCUGCCCUGCCUGGUGUAAAUCAGCAGGAAUUGCACACAGGGGGUGAAUGCUGUGGGUUUCAGCAGGCAGGACAGGAGGGGCAGCUCCAGGCCCCUCAGAGCUGCUGUUCUGGGACAGCUCCUGGUCCCAAACACUGCUGGGAACCCAGAGUGAGCCCUGCUCACCCCUGGGGCUGCUCUGGGUCACACCAGGGCCAGCACAGGCUGGGCUGGGCCCAGGGCAGUCCCUCAAUGCACUACAUGAGAUGAAUGCACCUUCCAGAGGAUGGUCCCACCCCAGCUGGGGCUGGGGGAGGGCACAAGGAGGUGACAGCUGUGCUGGGGACAUUUCCAUGGCCAUCUGUCCCACUGGCAGCACCCUGGGACAGAUAACUCCUGCAGCAGUGAGGGGGAGCACAGGGAAGGGAAAAGGGACAUGGCAGUGCCCAGGGAUGGGGAAAAGGGACGUGGCAGUGCCCAGGGAUGGGGAAAAGGGACAUGGCAGUGCCCAGGGAAGGGGAGCAGGGAUGUGGCAGUGCCCAGGGAUGUGGCAGUGCCAGGGAAGGGGAGCAGGGAUGUGGCAGUGCCCAGGAAUGGGAGCAGGGAUGUGGCAGUGCCCAGAGAUGUGACAGUGCCCAGGGAAUGGGAGCAGGGAUGUUGCAGUGCCCAGGAAUGGGAGCAGGGAUGUGGCAGUGCCCAGGAAGGGCAGCAUGGAUGCUAGCAGUACCCAGGGUUCUGUUUGGAGCAGGGGGAAGGAGGGAGGGAUGGAGGCUGAGCUCUGCUGUGACAUACCAGAGGGGAGGGAGCAGAAUUUGGAGUUGUGGGUGAUCACAGAGCCCAGGGAUGGUGUCUGAGCUGGGGGUACCUGCAAGGGAUUCCCAGUGGAUGGAAGGAGCCUGGGCCCUGCUGCCAUCAAGGAAAGCCAGGGGUUGAUCAGGUUCUGCCUGGGGAAAGAGCCAGAUCCCUGUUUCCCCGUGGUGGGAGAGGCUGUGGGUGCUUUCCCUGCACACCCAUCACCUGCAGGGAUCACACAUCGUUAGCAGGGCUCCCAUCCCGUGUCCUGAUUGUGGAUGAGCCCUCCCUGGCAGGGGUUUGGAAUGGGAUGAGAUUCCAGGGCCCUUCCAACCCAAACCAUUCCAGAAUUCCCUGCUGCCAGAGGAGGUGGAGAAGUGACCAUGCAGUGACCGUCAGCAGGGGCUGGAUCCAUCCAGAGCAGAGACCCGGGGUUAUUAAAGCCAGGCAGCUCUGGGGAAUGCAGAGGGGCUGAUCCUGGGGAGGGGCUGGGCACAGCUUGGGGAUGUCAGAGGAGCUGUGCUGUGAGCUUGCCUCGGCUCAAAGGCAGCUGCUCCAUCACACACAAGUGACAAUGACAGGCCCUAAAUGAGUCUGGGGUGGUGUCUGCCCGCACAAACCCCGUCAGACUUGUUUGGCUUUGUGUGGCAGCAACAGGGGCUCAGUCAGCUCGGCAGGGUUUGUGCUGAGCAGUGGAACACCCCGGGCCUGAGUCAGCCCUUCCCUGGCAGGGUCACCUCUGCCAGCCCCUGGCACCCUGGCAGCAGUGGUUCCUCCCAGAUUUUGUCCCAACGUCACUCCAAGUGUUGUGGCCCUGUCCAAAGCACUGGGCAGAAGCUGCUGGGGGAGCUGGGGAGAGCCACCAAGCCCUGGGCUCAUUCCCUUCUCCACCUCCUCUGGCAGCAGGGAAUCCUGGAAUGGUUUGGGUUGGAAGGGCCCUGGAACCUCAUCCCAUCCCAAACCCCUGCCAGGGAGGGCUCAUCCACAGUCCCUGCAGGUCUGGGGUGGGGAGGUGGCCCUGGACACCCUGGGAUUGUCCCCACACCUCCCAAACUCACGUGCAUCCCCCUGGGACAAUCAGGACACUGCAGGUCCCUCUCUGCUGCCCUCCCCUCGCUGUCCCCAGCUUGGUGACACGCAGGACAAGGGCUCUGCAUGAGGAGCACAUUGUGGUGGCCCUGAACACCCUGGGAUUGUCCCCACACCUCCAAAACCCACGUGCAUCCCCCUGGGACAAUCAGGACACUGCAGGUGUCCCUGGGACAAUCAAGACACUUCAGGUGUCCCUGGGAUAGUCAGGACACUGCAGGUCCCUGGGUGCUGCCCUCCCCUCGCUGUCCCCAGCCUGGUGACAAAGCAGGACGAGGGCUCCGCAUGAGGAGCACGCUGUGGUGGCCCUGUGCUCCCAAACCCUUGGGAACCCAGAGUCCUUGGGCAUCCCAGCAUGGGGACACCGAGAUCACAGUGUCCCCAGCUGAACCCACCUGGAGUGAUUCCAGCACCAGGAAAGCUCAGCAGCCCCAAAGCUGAACCUCUCCCAAGGCACUGACACUGCCAGGCAGAGCGAGGCUGGGAUCCCUCCUGGGGCAGCCCCAGAGCUGGGAGCUCCUGGUCCCUGCCCUUGUGGUGGGAGCAAUGGGAAUGUCACAUGUGGGAAUGUCACAUGGGAAUGUCACAUGUGGGACCAUUCCAUAUGGGAAUGUUAUAUGUGGGAAUGUCCCACGUGGGACUGUCACAUGUGGGAAUGUCCCCUGUGGGCAUGUCCCACACAGGAAUGCCCCAUGGGAAUGUCCCACAUGGGAAUGUCACGUGGGAAUGUCCUACAUGGGAAUGUCACUAUGAGAAUGCCCCACGUGGAAAUGCCUCACAUGGGAAUGUCCCACAUGGGAAUGUUCCACAUGGGAAUGUUCCACACAGGAAUGGCCCACAGGGGAAUACCCCACAUGGGACUUUCCCGUAUGGGAAUGUCACAUGGGAAUGUCCCACAUGGGAAUGCCAUAUAGGAAUGUCCCACAUGGAAAUACCACAUGGAAAUGCCCCACACAGGAAUGUCCUACAUGGGAAUGUCCCUCAUGGGAAUGCCACAUGGAAAUGCCCCACACAGGAAUGUCCCUCUUGGGCAUGCCACAUGGGAAUGCCACAUGGGAAUGUCCUACAUGGAAAUGCCCCUUGUGGGAAUGCCCCAUGUGGGAAUGCCCCUCAUGGAAAUGCCACAUAGGAAUGUCCCAUGUGAGAAUGUCCCAUAUGGAAAUGCCCCACUUGGGAUGUCCCACCUGGGAAUGUCCCAUGAGGGACUGUCCCAUGAGGGAAUGUCCCACGAGGGAAUGUCCCCCUCAGCCCUUCCAGCAGCUCUGGGGCCGGGACACAGGCCAGGCCACGGCUCCACGUGUGUUUUGGUUGUCAGGCCAGCGAGCGGUGCCAGGCAGCUCCCCGGCCCAGCCAAUGGCACCACUCUGCACGUUCAUUUAAUCACUAAUUAAUCUCCUCAUGCACAGAGCAGAGCCCUGUGUUCGGGAAGGACCCCGAGUGCUGCAUUCCCGGUUUGCUGUAAUUAGGAACGAGGGAGGGACUGGGCAGCACCGCUCACAUCGAGCCCUUCCCUCGGCACAGAACAAUAACGAGACCGUCGGCUCCUGGAGCAUCUAAUUAGAAAUGGCGCACUUAAUUGAUUUCUUGGCAAUGUUAAUUAAGGAAUAACGAGGACCAGGUUGCAGCACGAGGUGCCAGUGAGAAGUUUUGAGUGUCUCUCUGGAGGAUGGGUCUGGUGGCUGCUCCUGGGACAGCCAGGGGACAAGCCCAGGGUGGUGUCACCCAUGUCCCAAUGGGUGUCCCAAUUCCAGCCUGGGCACAGCUCAUCUCCUUCCAUUUUCCCUUGUUCCUCCUUUUCCUGCCCCCUCCCUGGGCUGUGCCAGGUCCUGGCAGGAUGGCAGGAGGUCCCUGUGGGGUCACCUGGCCAAUGCUGGACGCUGCCACCCGGGGACAGGAGAUGCUGGGACAUCCCUGGCAAUGCCACCUGCCCCAGGGAUGGGCUGUCCCCUCCUCUUGGAGGGCUGGGAUGGAGAUCCAGAGUCUGGGAUGGCCUUGGGAGGAGCGUGGAGGGUCCCAGGGUGUGUGAGACCCCCCUGGGCCGAGCUCUGGGUACAGAUCAAUCCCCUAGGAUGCUCUGAGGACAUUCUCAGGCUGGGAUGUGGAGUCCUGGUGCUGGUGGCUGUCCCCAGCUCUGGGUGUGUCCCCAGGUCCCUUUAGGAAACACCACUUUGGGCUUUUUACUGGUUUUUAUGGCUUAUUCCACACUGGGCGUCCACUCACCCUUGGGUCUGAGCACACGCUGACAGCGAAUCCCCCGGGAAUGACGAGAGGGCAGCUGCCAGCAACACGUCUUCCAGCGGGGUGGGCACCCUGGACACCCAGGGACACCCCCAGGACACCCCUGGGACACCUUUGGGACACCCUGGGACACUGAGACACCCUCAGGACACCCCGGGGACACCCUGGGACACCCCCAGGACACCCAGGUACACCCCUGGGACACCUUUGGGACAUCCUGGGGCACUGAGACACCCUCAGGACACCCCGGGGACACCCUGGGACACCCCCAGGACACCCUGAGACACCCUGGGGACACCCCUGGGACACCCCCAGGACACCUUUGGGACACCCUGAACAAUCCUGGGACAUCCUGGGGCACUGAGACACCCUCAGGAUACCCCGGGACACCCCGGGGACACCCAGGGACAGCCUGGGGACACCCUGGAAUGCCCAAGAACACCUUGGGACACCUCAGAACUCCCGGGGACACCCCUGGGACACCCCUAGAUGUAUCCCAGACACCCUGAGACACCCCUGGGACACUCCAGGGAUACCCUGGGACACUACCAGAACACCUCUGAGACACCCUGGGACACCCCCAGGACACCCCUGGGAAACCCGUGGGACACAUCCCAGACACCCUGAGACACCCUGGGGACACCCCGGGACACCUCUGGGAUACCCAGGGACAUCCUGAGACACCUUUGGGACACCCUGGGACACCCCUGGGACACCCUGGGACACCCCCAGGGACACCCCGGGACCCCCCCGGCUCUGUCUGUUUUUAACCCCUGCGUCGCCAGCGCCCGCGAGUCCCCGUGUCACCCCUGGAUUGUCACAAUAAAAGAGGUCACACACUG
Molecule: long non-coding RNA, 5629 nt
Organism: Zonotrichia leucophrys gambelii
Lineage: Eukaryota; Metazoa; Chordata; Aves; Passeriformes; Passerellidae
Exons: 2
Source: RefSeq, a predicted model, not a curated record